This is a long non-coding RNA of Xiphophorus hellerii (green swordtail), 3515 nucleotides long. RefSeq lists it as uncharacterized. The record is from RefSeq and is a predicted model, not a curated record. The transcript is spliced from 2 exons. Lineage: Eukaryota; Metazoa; Chordata; Actinopteri; Cyprinodontiformes; Poeciliidae.
CGAGAAAACCCCUGGUUGAGCGACGGUGCUUUGACAUCUGAGAAGCUCGCAGGAGGAUCCCAUCACUGCCUGUUAAAUACAGUGGUGAUCAGGACCUCUCCUUGGGUCUGAAGACUCCAAGCUGGGAGUCUUGAGAUAAUAUCCAAAAAUCAAGGUAAAUACAAUCGUUUUUUUGUUUGUUUGUUUUUGAAAAUAGUAAAAAAGUGUUUCACAUGGUAAAUUGGUUUGUCUUUUCGUCAAUUUCUACCCUCAUUUUGAACCCAUCUGUUUCAUCGGUUCCUGCUUUUAUUUGGCACUGAUUAACAAAUCAGUUUGUACCAGUGUAGCAGCUUGUUUAUUCAUUUUCAAGUAUUUUUUUUUUAAAUUAUGAAGUUAGUCAUCAGAAUUCUAAAACAUUCACAAGUAUUUUGAUGCAUUACUGUUUCGAUUUACUUUAGUUCUGAUCCAGAGUUAAACUAGUUGACUUUGGCAAAUACUAUAGAUUAUGACUUCUUAUUAAAUAAAACUAUUUUUUUUAACCCACCGUUAGUCAAGGAUAAUUACUAAGGUCAUAAACACACAUUUCCUUAGAGAAGACUAUGAAUCUAAAAUACAAAAAUUACUUCCUCAUACCAAAGUCACUUGGCAACCAGGAAUUGCUGUGCUGGUAUGAGAUUGAUUUAAAUGUUAAGCCUUGAAAAGGCAUGUAUGACCUACAAAGGAGAAAAAUAACAAGCAUCCAUUGGGAUUAUAACCAUUUUUUUUUAUCUCACUGGCAGAUUGUCACCCCAAGCAAUGGUGGAGGUUGAAAGUCUCUGUCAUUGUUAUUUUGUGGGUUUCAAACAAAAAGGUUUUUGACUCUAGAUUAUAACUAAACUAAAAGUUGACGUGGGCAAAAACCUUUGGCAUCACAUGGCAAAAAUGCCAUAAGAUAUAAUUUGCUUUGAUUAGAUGCUGUAGUCAUAUUUUAAGAGCUAAAUCAAUUUAGAAUAUUUCAUCACUCCCACAAGGAAAUGAACCAACCCCAACAGAACCACACAGUAAAAUGAAAAACAGAUGUAAUGUAACAUGUUCGGAAAUGAAAUAAAUUUGUAGGUGAGAUUUGAUCAUUUCUGACUCACCGUCUCCCUAAUUAGUCAAAACAGUCAAUUAUAAGGAAAAAGAAACUGCUACUAUUGCUAGGUACAUGUUUUUGUUUGUGUUUUUUUUUUACACUUAUAUCACAGAAGUAGGCUUGCGCAAAAUGGUGCUGAGGUGAACUAACCCAGAGAUAUACGAAAUGACAGCAUUCACCGUAGGACAACAAGUACAGACACCUCCAGAAGAAACUCUUGACAUUGAAAUAUGAAUCCCCCUUUUACCCAGCUCGUCUUGUUCACAUAUAGUAUGUGUGACCUAAUUAAUAAUAUGUGUUGCGGAAUAAGCGAGAAAGUAACAGGCUGGUGUUUGCUAUAGCAUUUCUGACGCCUUAACAGUUGAGCUAUUACUGCUGUAACGUCAAUGCAUUGUGCAGAUAAGGAGUAGUCAUAGUACUGAAUAAUGCUUAAGCUCAUCUGACCUGCAAGUGGAGGCAGUCACAGUUCGCAGUUCACAGACAUUUAUAGGAGAAGUGAUGCAAACAGAACAUGUCGUUCUAGUCCACCACAUUGUUGCCGCCCGUCUGACUCCUCCUCAACAGAAGGAGGCUUUUUAAAAAUGCUACCUGGGAGGCAUUUUGCUGCCUGUGUUUAGUCAGCACAAACAAAGAAAAGCAGGCAACCAUCUCAUAACAGGCUAAUCUUUUUAUUCAACAUUAGUACCAAAAACCUUAAAAUGCCUGUGAGACUGCCUCUACUGAACAUUCAGAGGGUACAACACAAUUGAUAAAGAUAACGGUGAGGCUUUUCAAAGGUCCAACACUUAGGUCUAUAAUAGUAUAUGUAAAAUCAAAUGGUCACGAUUAUUAAGUUCUGAAUAUGUAAUAUCUAAAUGUCUGAUAUUGGAGUUUUGGGUGGGUGGGAGGGACGGACAGAUGGAUGGUUUUAGGCAAUGGGGCUGGUUAAAAAUACGGAAAUACAAAAAUAUUUCAUCAUCUCCUUUUUUUUCUCAGAACUUUUCCAGAAAUGGACUAUUUUCCAGGCUGCUAGGCAUGCCGCAAAACUGACUUGUGGGAAUGACCACAAAUUGGGAGAGUUGUUUUAUUUCCUUGAGACCAGUCUUCAAACCAGAAUUUGUGCAUAACAGAAGAUAAAAUGGUUUGUAACAGAUCAGUCCUAAGAAGUGAUGCAUGCAUUAAACAAAGGAGUUGAUUUUCACAAAGAAAUAAAUUACGCAAAUUUCUUAUCAGCGUGGCAGAAGUUCUAAUUAAAAGACACAUUGGAACAGUUUGCAGGAUGGGAUGUUGACCAAAUGUUUUGUAUGUACAUAAGACUUGAUAUGUGGAAAAUGCCUCUCUUUAAAAAAGUAUUACUGUAUAAAAUGCAUGUGUACGACACAAUAAAUUUGACCAAAUUGAUUAUAAUCAGGCUGUUUUGUUGUGUUUAUUUAUUUGCCCCAGUUAUACAACACAAAAUGCCCUGCAAGACAAAUAAAGCUUGGAGGGGGCUAUUAAAUAAGGAAUUCUGACCAGGUCUGAGCUGUUUUUAGCUAAUAAGUAACAGAAUAAUCUCUGUGUCCAACGGUCUACAGUAAUGGAGGUCAGAAGCUAUAAUAUAAUGUAAUGUAUUUUCCUUUAUAUACAAAUAAUAAAGUGUUUAUUCUAUUUUCUCAAUAUUUUUUAUAAUUUUAAUCAAAAAUGCCCCCAUCUGUCACGUAAGUGCAUCGUGCCUAGAGCUCAGUCCAGGCCUGUAUGAAACAUUUUUAUGCAGAGGUGUUUUGAAAAAGCUCUGUCUCCAUGGCACCACAUCUUUCUGCUUUUGUUACUAUAUUAAGCCUAUGAAAGCGUUGUGCGCAUGCGCCCCGCGUGCCUAUCAGAGGCCUCCAGAACAGUCUGGAACUCUCGGGAGGAGGCGUCAAGAAUCUCUCAGUCACUCCAGCACCCUCACUGCAGUCGGCUGCGUUCGGAUACCGUCUUUCUCAAACCUCCUGAAUCCGUCCUGAUGUGGAACUUUAUAUCAUUAUAAAUCCAUUAAACCCAUGGGAGUACAAUUUCCUAUUUUGGUGGAUCGACCAGACACCAAAACGCAAAUGUCGUCAUCUGUGGUUCUCAGACUUGGAUUACUAUGGAUACUGGACCGUCAGGCUCAUAUUGUUCCCCUUGUAAAUUUUUUUGAGAAGGAACUGGAGUGAUAUAUCAGAAACCCUCUCUUGGAAUAUGUCUCUAUCUGUCCUCAGCUCUAAAUAAAGAAGUCUUCAUACCGACGACAAAAUGUGGAUUUCAUUCGAUGUGGGUGUCAGAACAUAAAUCACGAAAAGACGACAAGCUUUAAAACGUGUUGCAAAGACUAGAACGAAACCUUAAUGUGUGUUGGGUGUUAAAACAAUGUUUGGUGAAACUAGCCAAAGAAAAUGUGGAUUCAUUACUGUGAAAAUACGUACAAAGUCCACACAAAAAAAAA